RNAcentral lists this long non-coding RNA (9609 nucleotides) under Cucumis sativus (cucumber). RNAcentral's name for it is "long non-coding RNA (CSAT_LNC000220)". The record is from RNAcentral. Lineage: Eukaryota; Viridiplantae; Streptophyta; Magnoliopsida; Cucurbitales; Cucurbitaceae.
AACAACAAAGCUAUCCAAUUCUGAACCCCAUCUGAUUGGUUUCUGAGGUGUGUUGCUCGAAACUUCUCUGGAAUACAAUCCUUCAUCCAUCUACUCAUGAGAAACCAGACAAGGUUGGGUCUCCUUCCUCAAUAUGAUCAGGUCCUUUUUAUUGACUCAUAAUUACACCUCCUUUUCAAAAAUAUCAAGCUGAUGUAAAGGCCAGUGACUGAUUGAAGUUAGUGAAAUAAACAACCUCACAAAUGUCAUUUUACUACUGGAGAAAAAGUAUCAACAUAGUUAACGCCAUGUUUGUGCGUAGCCUUUCACUACAAGGUGUACUUUUAUGAGCGACAAAACCAUCAGGAUUAACUUUAAUUGUAACCACCCAUUUGCAACUGAUAUACUUUUUUCGUGCAGGAGAGAAACUAAAUCCCAAGUACAAUUAUCGUCUAAUGUAAUCAUCUCCUCCACCAUUGCAAACACCAACAAGAUGAGAAUAGGCUUAAUGAUACAAACUCUAAUGAUGCAAUGAAAGAACAUGCAGAAGACAACUAAUGGUUAUAUGAAACAGAAGAGGAAAUAAGAUGAGCACACUUAAGUUUACCUUUACGAAGAGCAAUAGGAAGAUCAUCACUCAUUUCUGGAUCCAAUGACGAAGAAGCCUUAGGGGUAGGGCAUGGAAUUGAAGAAGGUUGUCGUCGAUCAUAGACUUCAGUGAUGGGUUGACAAAUAGAAGUAAACACACGUGAAGAUGAACCACAAAGAGGAUUAGAAGGAGAGAUAACAUUGUAGAUAAAGAAAUCAUCCUUUGACUCUUGAUACUCCUCGACUCAUAUUCGAAGAGAAAGAAGGUGAGGAAUAAAAGGAGGAAUGUUCAAAGAACGAGAAUAACCAAAAAGAUAUAUUUUAAGGUCUUUGGAUCCAACUUUGUAUGUUGAGGCCGAACGUCUUGGACAAAUCAAGUAUAACCAAUUAUUUUGGGUGGAAUGAGAAACAAAUGUUGUUUGGGGCAUAAGAUACAAAAAGGUAUCUCACCCUUAAAAAUGGAAGAGGGCAUGCAAUUUGUUAAGAAACGGGCUAUGGAAACAUCAGCCCAAAAGAAAUUGGAAAAUUCAUUUGAAACAUUAGGAACUAGUGGUUUAAAAAGGAUGACGAUUCUUUCAUUUUGCAAACCCACUGACUUCAUGAAAUUAAUAAAUAGAAGUGUGAAAGUAACAUAGACAUGAAUAUAUAAGCUAGAGCAAAGGCAUGACUACUAUACCUGACUACCAUUACAUAGCGCUAAAAGAAAUUGUAAUUUUCUUUUUCAUUCAAUAUGUAAUUUGACGUAAUAGUAAUAGUAAUUCCUCUUUCAAACACCUCUUUUUUUUCAACAAAGAGGACAAGGCUUAUGAUCCCUAAAUCGUUAGCAAUUAAGAUGCAGCAAAUAAGGUAGCUAAGAUGCAGAAAAUAAGAAAACACCCCAAAUCACUACAGUGCAUAAGAAAUCUAUCACAUAAGCACAAAGAUAAAUACUGAGAGUAUUAGUUGAAACUUAGCAAACACAGGGCAAACUAUUAUUUAACGUGCUAGUUUAAAUAUAUAUCUAAACUAAACUACACAAGUAUUUCAAACUGGCAAAACUAAAAUUAGGUUUAUAGAAACAACGUGUCCUCAUCCUUUCUCCUAAGGAAUGCUAUUCAUUAUGAUUUUAUCUUUUGAGUUUUAAAAAUAUGCUAUUUAUUAUUCAUAUCUUUUCUCGUGCUAUCUAGAAGCUAACCAAACAACAUAGAGAAAGUACAUUUGUAUCACUAAUCAAUAUUUGAAAUGAUGACGCAGAUUAAAUAAUACAGAAUUCAGAAAGUAGAACUUGCCUGCUAGCUGACUUCAGCUGCUCCCUGAGUUCCUUGAACUUGAGGUUUCUCAUGUUCUCAACAGUGAAAACAAAACUGAGUUGUAAUUUUCCACACCCUGCCUGAUCGAUUCCACCAUUGAUUUCUUGUGGUCCCUUCCUUUUCUUCUUUGUUUUGAUAAAGUAACUGCAUUUAUCCCACGAACAAUUAGAUAGAAGACUUAAAACACUAAUCUGCAUAGGACUAAGUUCAUAUUUUUCCUCUUUAAAACACUAAUCUGCAUAGGACUAAGUUCAUAUUUUCCUCUUUCUUUUUAAGUUAAAAACCACAUGAGUUUGACAAUGAUUACUACCACCACAAGUCAUUUAACUUCUUCAACUGCCUCAUACUUUUCACAAGAAACUGCAUCAUACAAAUUAACCCAUAAUAAAGCUAUCCAAAUUCCGAACCCCAUCUGAUUGGUUCUGAAAUCAGUAACUCUCAUGGAAGGAAAAACAUUUAUUAAUAAAAAUCAACUUUGUUACUAGUUUCUAAAAACACUCUCAAAUAUGUCUUCCAUAACCUGGUUUAAGUUUUGCAGAAAAAUGACUAAUGGCUGGGAUACUCAUGCCAUGGAGUGGCAAAAAAGAGGCUGAGCUUUGUAUUUGAAGUAUUAUGUUGAUGAAGACAUGUAAAAGGUCUUAUGAACAUUUCAAUUUAACUUUUGUCUCUUGAGUACUGUAGCUUUAGACUGAUGAUUAUUUUCUAGUUUGUCUCUACACGAAAAACCAGUUUGUCCAUUUGUACUUUUAAUUGUCAGCCUUUCAAAGCUUGUCAAUACAUCAUUUUUAAAGAUUUACGUGCACCCCAUGUCAUUAAUCCUUCUAAGCUGAUUUUCUUCGUAAAUAUAUAUUACACUUAACACUUAAAACACACAUAUUUCAAAGAUUUAUUCCAAAACAAAAAUGAGAAUGAAUGAAACUCAAAUCAAAAUGGAGAAAUAAAGAGUGGAGGUGAAAAUAACCAGAAAAUUUACAAUAAUGCUAUGGAGGAAAAGAAGAUAAGUGACUGAAGGAAAUGAGCUCAGGGAAAAGACUCCUAUUGGAGAAGAACUAAGUUCCAUUUUGAAAUUUCAAGAAAGAAACUGAUGGAUCUGAAAUGGGUGUAUGUAUCUCUGUUAGCAACCCAAACUACUGUUUGAACAGAGAUUUUAUUAUACCAAAUGCUUAUGUAAUACUUGGAUGAAGAAGUUGAAGAUUUCAUGAGUAGAGAAAAAAUAUGAGAAAUAUGAAGGAAACAGAAAUGAUGUGGGGGGACACUGAAGAAACAGAUCCAAAAAAAUGCAGUACUAUGAACUGCAAGAACAAGCAAUCUCUUAAGCUAGAAAAAGAAGAAACAUGAAAAACCAAGGAUGUAAUUAUCUAUACCUCAUCUGUAUGACGUAAAUGGUUGGAGAAGAAGGAAGAUGAAGACAAACCCUUCAAGUCCAAAACUUUAGACAGCAUGAUGAUGGAACUGAAAAAGAACAAAUCCCAAAAUAAAGAAAAAAAAACUCAAAGAAGCUCCAUAAAAAGGACGCUAAAAAUUGCAACCCCACUCCUUCAGAAGGCAAUUCAAAAACUUUCCUGGAGCCUACAAAAAUCUACCGGUCGAGCAAAACAUUUCAUGAGUAGAGAAAAAAUAAAAGAAAUCAAAUUACAAAACGAAGAAUCAUUGAUUAAACUAACUUAAACACCACAAUUCAUAUUUUUUUAGGGUUACCCAUUGUGCACCCACCAAAUCAUUCUUAAGAGAUUUAAGUUUAACAGUAAAGACCAGAGAUGGAUCAAACUGUUACACCAUUGUUAAAAAGAAGAAAAGAAGGCCCAUAGAAAGGAAGCUAUUAAGGAAGAUAUUUCCUUGUUGGCAAAGAGCAUUGAAAGGCUGGGUGUGCAGGCUUGGACAGCAACAGCAGCAACAACGAACUUUCAUGAAAUAUACUUAAGGAAUGAUUAAGGGAAAGACAACAUGGGAAGAAGUUCCAGAAGGUUCGUCCAACAAGAAAGAAACUUGAUUGAUGUCAGUGAUUCAUUUGUGAUGGGAGGAAAAUCGGAAGAAAAAUACACCAAGUUGGAAGGAGAAGAAUCUGCAGGGGAUUGAAGCAAAUUCAAGAAAAUUGACAUGCCCGUUUUCGCGGGUAUUGCCCGGAUUCUUGGUUAUUUAGAGCAGAACGUUAUUUUCAGAUACACAAACUUAAUGAGUUAGAGAAGAUGACAGUGACAAUCAUUAGUUUUGAUGGUGCAGCCUUGGAUUGGUAUAGAUCUCAUGAAGACCGUGAACCGUUUGUUAAUUGGGAAGAUUUAAAGAGAAGACUUAUUAUUUGAUUUCGAUCAGACCGUGAGGGAUCAAUAUUGGGCAGAUUUUUAACGAUAAAAUAAGACACUACAGUGGAUAAUACAAAAAAAAUUUUUUGAUAAAUUGGUGGCACCUUUGCCUUUUCUGCAUAAGACAGUUAUAACAGAGACAUUUAUGAAUGGUUUGAAACCUUGGAUUAAGACAGAAUUGGAAUGUUGGGAACCUGUUGGGCUUGCUCAAAUGAUGAAAUUGGCCCAGAAAAUUGAGAACCGAGAGGUGAUAAGGGUGAAUCUGACUUAAAAUGUGCAGGGGAUGAUAAAACCCAGGUUUCUACUGUCUUUAAAUACUCAAUUUCAUGUAGUUUCCAAUGACAAUAAGUCAGAAGGUACUGUUCCAGUAAGGGCUAUCACACUUCGAGGGCUGCAGAAAUUAAUCGACGGGAAGGACCAUCAAGACGACUUUUGUGAUGCUGAGUUUCAAGCCAAACGUGAGAAAGGGCUUUGCUUUUGUUGUGAGGAAAAAUUUUGUGCAGGCCAUAGAUGUAAGGUGAAGGAUCAGAAGGAACUCAGAGUGUUAGUUGUUCAAGCAAAUGGGGAGGAAUUGGAAGUAGUGAAGAGGAUGAUCGUAUAGACAAACUUGAGGUAAAAGCUAUUGAACUUGAUAUAGAACAAAAAAGAACCAGUGAUAGAAUUGUUAUUAACUUCAUGGAACACCGGAUUAAAUGCGAUAUCAAAGUGCUGCUUGAUUAUCACACCACAAUUUUGCUGGUGUGGUGAUUUCAAAUCCCAACUCAACAAUAGUCAAAAAGUUGAUAUAUCCAAAUCAAUUUGAUAUAUCCAAUUCACACAAAACUGUGCAAUUGCUCUAUAUUUUUUAUUAUGCACUUGAACGUGACACCACAUUUUGUUUCUUACUUUUCCAAGACAUCAAAUUGCCAACAACAAAAACAAAAUAUCCUGAAGUUGAUCUUUUGUCUUCUUUAGAUUUUACCAAUUAACAUCUGAGAAACAUUCAAUAUUAGUAUGACUAUAAUCCUUAUAUAAUAAAAUCAUGCCCGAGAGCAGCCUUCAGAUAACACUGAAUCAUUCCAAAGCAGCUGAAUGAUCAACUUUAGGGCAUGACAUACACUGGCUCAUAAUACUCACUAAAUAGGCUAUGUCGAGUCGAUUCGCUGGAAGGUAAUUAAGUUUUCCCUCUAACCUCCUAUAUCUUUGAAGAUCUUUCAACAAUUCUCCAUCUUUUGUGAGCUAUAAGUUAGGCAUCGUUGGGGUACUACAUGGCUUGGCACCUACCUUCCAUGUUUCAGUCAACAAGUCCAUAUUUUCUCUGUGAUAAUAGGCUUGCCUGUUUUUACCUCAAAUUCCUAGGAGGUAUUUCAACAUGCUCAAAUCUUUUAUUUGGAAUUGGCAAUAGAGAAAAGUCUUCAGGGACUGGACAUCUAAAGCAUCAUCACCAACAACCACAAUUGCAUCAACAUAUACUACGAUUAGGAUCACCCCACUCUCGGAUCUUUUAAAAAAGAUUGAAUGAUCUAACGUGCUCUUUUGCAUUCCAAAACUUUCGAUCACCUUAAUAAAUUUUCCAAACCAAGCCUGUGGACUAUGUUUUAGUCCAUCCAAAGAUUUACAAAGGCGACACGCCUUUCCAUUCUUCCCCUGAGCAACAAACCCUAGUGGUUGCUCCAUAUACACCCCUUCUUGAGGAUCACCAUGAAGAAAUGUGUAAGGACCCUAGAUAGAAAAAUAGUGGAUUAUUAGGAGAAAAUGAAAAUGGUUGUUAGUAAGGUCAUAUAGUAAAUAGAUGGUAAGUUGGUUAGUUCUUUUUGUUAUAAAUAGUGGGAGAGGGGUUGGAGAGAGGUGUGAAGAAUUUUGAGAAAGUUUUCCUUGUAAGGGAACCUUAGGAGAGUCUAACCCUCUCAAAAGGCUAGGUUACUUGUUACUUGUUAUUAAGAUCUUCUAAUAUAUAUUUCAUGUUUGGAUGUAUUUUAAGUAUUCUUGAGUUCAUCUUUUCUCCUUGAGGUAAUCCUUGUUAGGUGGGAUCCUAACAAAUUGGUAUCAGAGCCGUAACAUCUUGGGGAUGACACGGGCUUGGAUGCAAAAACAAAUGGAGGAGAGGUUGGAGAAGAAUGAGAAGGACAUUAGGGAACUUAAAGAUGUAACUUUGGAGUUGUCCAAAAGCAUCGAAAGGCUGGCAGAGGAAUUACGAGAAAACAAUGUUAGUUGCCGACGGGAAGAAUCUGCUACGUCGGAGGGAUCGGUGUUGAAAAUGAAAGGAAAGAUGGAAGAAGACUCGACCGCAGUUGAGAGAGGGACUUGGGAGCAAGCACUUAAAUGGGCUGCUAAUUGCAAACUUGAGGUGGAUGAGAGGGGAGAAACUCCAUGGACAUGGGAGCAUAUGCAGAAAUGGAUUGUGGAUUGCAAGGCAAAAAGAAUAGAGAGGAGUGCUAAAACAAUACAUCAAACGCUUUCUGAAGGGCUGCAAAGAGAUAAAGAAAGAGCGGAGAAGAAACUAGAAAAAAUUAAAGUUGAAGAAAAACAAAAAUGGAACAAUGACUUGAAGAUGAAGGAAUCGAAGAACGACCAUGAAAAAGAUGAAGGGAAGAGGAAGCCAAAUCUAACUGUGUAUUCCCAUGGCCGACGACUAAGGGUGGGGUGGUCAGAGACAAACACUUGGUGGAAAUGGAAACACCGAGCAGAGAAGGCGGAAGCAUGGGAAAGGAGGCAAACACUAUGGAUGAGAAGGAAGGCAAAGAAACGAUUGAGGAAGCGAUCAUUGAUACUUGGUGGUAGUGAAGAAAACAAAAAGAAGAAUCAAACAGUACCUAUGUGGAACAAGUCGACCUGGAUACGAUCUGUGAAAAUAGAAGAAACGGCUCAUUGGAGUGGCAACAUUGAGAGGCUGAUCAUAUAUAUAGGCCAAGAUUUUGUUGAGGUACGUUACUUUCCUUGCCUUUCUUUUGUGGCAUGCGAGUUAUAUCAAAGUAGGGAAGGGAUGAGGAAGCUAGGCAAUGAAGAAGAUGAAUAAAGGAAUUUCGAAGGUCAUCGGAGUAAGAUAGAAUGGGUAACGACAAGGAAGAAAAUGGCAAUGGAAUUAGUACAGGGAUCAUAGAGAGGCUGGCGAAUGGAAACAUAUUGGGUUGUGACAGAAAAUCGAGGCGGGGAUGAACAGAAACCGCGGCGGAGGAAAGAUUCUGAGUCGGUCACCGGUGGCCAAAAAAAGAAGAAGAUGGAUUGUCGAAAAGUCCAGUUACAGGAAGAGGAGAUGGAGACAGGGUGCGUUGGAGGUAGUCGACCUAAGGCACAAAGGGAGUUUGUCGGAACGCGGAUAGCAACGAGGCUGCAAGUGAGAUCGGAAAUUGUCGGGAAGAAUGCUUUGAUAUUUGCAGAGGGAGUGAGCAGCUACGGACAAAAAAAAUUCAGAAAGGAGGGGGAAGAUUUCUUGAAGAAAAACGAUUCUUCAACCCACGUGAAGCGUCAGACGUUAAGGCGAAAAAUUAGAGACAAUAGUAGUUAUGAUUUGUUUAGUGGGCUGAAAUUAAAUGAAAAGGGCCAGAUUUUCUCAAAUGGGCUUGGCUUAGGUGGAGAAAUUGGGGAUCAAAUUCCUAAUAAAUGGCCAGGAAAACAAAGUGGAGGCUAGGAGAAGGAUUGGCACAUGCAAACCUCAAUGGUUAAAGUAUAUCACGUGGGAUGGAAAUUAGGGAAAGAAUUUAAUCAAAAGUGGGCCAAAAUGUUGCUUUUUGGGCUGAUUGCAAAAGUAAGGGAUGAGGCCCAUUAUACCUCAAAGAAAAAUAAAUUGACGGCUUUAUCUAAGGAAGUGGAAAUCCUAUUGGAAUAUGGAUGGUGGGCCAAACAUGAGAUGAUAACAAAGAAAUACAGCCUUCAUAAAGAAAGAAAGGAAAUUAAUGUGCUUGAAUUUGCUAAAUUCAUUGAGACCCAUUUGUUAGUGUGGCUGAAAUGUAACUUGAAAAUGGAUAGGAAUUGCCUGAAGCUCAUUGGUAAUUCUAAGAAAGAUGGUGUAUGGGCCGUGAAAUUGAUUUGGGGAUGGGGUCAUAAAGUUAAUUGUGGGCUUAGCCCAUUAGAGAGGAAGAGCUUCAAAUUAAAAUGCAAGUGGCAUGGAAUUAGGCUCAGGGAAUGGCAGUUGGUUAAUUGGGAUCACUUUCCGUGUGAGAAGAAUGAAGAUUGGGGAAGUUCUUGGAGUCUAAAGGGUUGGAUGUAUGCAAGUGUAAUUAUUACAACCCAAUAGAAUUUCAAGGCAAAGCUGAAUAAAAUUUCUUCCGAGAUGGCAGGAGUAUGGUAGUAGAGAGUUCAAGGUUUGUAGUUUGUAAGCACACCUUGAGGACAAGGUGUCUUCGAAGGGCAGAGUAAUGUAAGGACCCUAGAUAGAAAAAUAGUGGAUUAUUAGGAGAAAAUGAAAAUGGUUGUUAGUAAGGUCAUAUAGUAAAUAGAUGGUAAGUUGGUUAGUUCUUUUUGUUAUAAAUAGUGGGAGAGGGGUUGGAGAGGGUGAAGAAUUUUGAGAAAGUUUUCCUUGUAAGGGAACCUUAGGAGAGUCUUAACCCUCUCAAAAGGCUAGGGUUACUUGUUACUUGUUAUUAAGAUCUUCUAAAUAUAUAUUUCAUGUUUGGAUGUUUUUUAAGUAUUCUUGAGUUCAUCUUUUCUUCUUGAGGUAAUCCUUAUUAGGUGGGAUCCUAACAAAAUGCACUUUUAAUAUCAAGCUGAUGUAAAAAAGUUGGAAACAAAUAUUGAACCUCUCCUCUCCUCUCACCCACCCUCUUCUCUCUUCAUUCCGGCCACACCUUCUCACGGUGACGUCGACGGCAACGCCAAACCCGGGGAGUUACAACUCCAUCUUUUUCAGAAAUGGAAGUCAAAAGUUGAAAAAUGGUAGACACUUUCUACUGUAUCUAGUUCGAAAAGGGGAGGUUCAAUAUUGAAGAUGUAGACUUCCAAAAAAUCCUCACUUUAUCCAAGAUCCAAUUAGAGUGGUUCAUUGAUUCAAUAGAUGUUCUUGUAAAAGAACCAAACUGGAAGUUUUUCAACAAAUAUGCGAGUGAUGAAACCGAAACAACAAAGCUAUCCAAAUUCUGAACCCCAUCUGAUUGGUUUCUGAGGUGUGUUGCUCGAAACUUCUCUGGAAUACAAUCCUUCAUCCAUCUACUCAUGAGAAACCAGACAAGGUUGGGUCUCCUUCCUCAACAUGAUCAGGUCCUUUUUAUUGACUCAUAAUUACACCUCCUUUUCAAAAAUAUCAAGCUGAUGUAAAGGCCAGUGACUGAUUGAAGUUAGUGAAAUAAACAACCUCACAAAUGUCAUUUUUACUACUCGAGAAAAAGUAUCAGCAUAGUUAACGCCAUGUUUGUGCGUAGCCUUUCACUACAAGGUGUACUUUUAAUUGAGCGACAAAACCAUCAGGAUUAACUUUAAUUGUAACCACCCAUUUGCAACUGAUAUACUUUUUUCGUGCAGGGAGAGAAACUAAAUCCCAA